This 532-nucleotide ribosomal RNA is filed under the name Alternaria alternata. RNAcentral describes it as "eukaryotic LSU rRNA". The stretch from base 155 to 308 matches the Rfam family "5.8S ribosomal RNA". The record is from RNAcentral. Lineage: Eukaryota; Fungi; Ascomycota; Dothideomycetes; Pleosporales; Pleosporaceae.
GAGGCGGGCUGGACCUCUCGGGGUUACAGCCUUGCUGAAUUAUUCACCCUUGUCUUUUGCGUACUUCUUGUUUCCUUGGUGGGUUCGCCCACCACUAGGACAAACAUAAACCUUUUGUAAUUGCAAUCAGCGUCAGUAACAAAUUAAUAAUUACAACUCCCAACAACGCAUCUCUUGGUUCUGGCAUCGAUGAAGAACGCAGCGAAAUGCGAUAAGUAGUGUGAAUUGCAGAAUUCAGUGAAUCAUCGAAUCUUUAAACGCACAUUGCGCCCUUUGGUAUUCCAAAGGGCAUGCCUCUUCGAGCGUCAUUUGUACCCGCAAGCUUUGGUUGGUGUUGGGCGUCUUGUCUCUAGCUUUGCUGGAGACUCGCCUUAAAGUAAUUGGCAGCCGGCCUACUGGUUUCGGAGCGCAGCACAAGUCGCACUCUCUAUCAGCAAAGGUCUAGCAUCCAUUAAGCCUUUUUUUUCAACUUUUGACCUCGGAUCAGGUAGGGAUACCCGCUGAACUUAAGCAUAUCAAUAAGCGGAGGAAA